RNAcentral lists this ribosomal RNA (513 nucleotides) under uncultured bacterium. Its description in RNAcentral is "bacterial SSU rRNA". It matches the Rfam family "Bacterial small subunit ribosomal RNA", at positions 1 to 507 of the family's 1533-position model. The record is from RNAcentral.
CAUGCUAGACGAGUUUGACAUGGCUCAGAACGAACGCUGGCGACGCGCCUAACACAUGCAAGUCGAACGAGAAUCCGGGGCAACCCGGUAGUAAAGUGGCAAACGGGUGAGGAAUACAUGGGUAACCUACCCUUGAGAAGGGAAUAACCCGCCGAAAGGUGAGCUAAUACCCUAUACGCUAUCUUUUUUUCGAAAAGGAUAGGAAAGCCGGGUCGAGGACCUGGUACUCAAGGAGGGGCUCAUGUCCUAUCAGCUUGUUGGUGGGGUAACGGCCUACCAAGACUACGACGGGUAGCUGGUCUGAGAGGAUGAUCAGCCACACUGGCACUGAGAUACGGGCCAGACUCCUACGGGAGGCAGCAGUGAGGAAUAUUGCGCAAUGGGCGAAAGCCUGACGCAGCGACGCCGCGUGGGGGAUGAAGGUUUUCGGAUUGUAAACCCCUUUCAUGAGGAAAGAUAAAGUGGGUAACCACUUAGACGGUACCUCAAGAAGAAGCCACGGCUAACUUCGUG